CUUUCAGGAGGCCAGUACAGCACCUUCUUCUAAAAAGGUAGAAAAACCAAAAAAGAGUGAGCCUGCAUCUAGCAAUGAUACUUUAGAAGAUGUUAGGUGGAAGAGACUAAAUGAACUCAAACGUUGCCCAUAUGCCUGAAGAAAUUUGAAAAAUUAGUCCCUCACAUCAAAUCUUGUGCCACUAAGCAAAGUAUCUCAACGGACCAACUGUUCAAAGCAAUAGAUUGCAACUGAAAAAAAUGAAGAAAGAGCUGCGCUUGGUUUUCUCUCUUCCCAAACUGUCAGGCCAACAACUCGCAGAACAACUUCAGCAUCGAAGGGUUCAAAAGAUGUCAGUUUGGAGCUGGCACUUGCUCUUUCAAUAUCAUUGCAAGAAUCAAAAAUGAGAACAUAAUGAAAGAAUCAGAGGCCUUAAUGGAAAUGGGUUUUGAAGCUGAGGCUUUGGAGCAAAGAAAGGUCCUAGAACAGUUCUCUCUUCCAGAAGUUGUUGUACAGACUGCACCAAAAUCUUCUAAGUCUGUCUCUGGUGAAAAGAAGAAGCUACAGUCAAAACUGUUCACAAGAAGUAAAGAAGAUCAAGAACGGAUUUUAGCGGACAAGGUUGCCAACAUUCUAAUGUCAAAUGAUAGCCCUGUGGACUUAAGACUUGAAUCUCCUGAAAAUGUUAAAUCCAAGAUCCAGUCUAAAUUCAAGCUAAAUCCAAGAACUUAUGGCAGCUUUCCACUGAAGAAAUUGAGUCGAGCGAUCUAUUUUAUGUCCCUAAUCUAUCUGACUCUAUAGCUCCAAGUUCUGGAAACAUUAUGAGCGCCUUAAAUCCAAAGCUCCUAUCCAAGAAUCUGAUUCUCCGGUGAGUUAGAAGUUCUCUUCUUUAGCCUCAUUUUGUUUUCCUAUUGAAUUCUAGAUGUUUUUUAGUUUUUCUUUCUCCUUCUUUGAAAAAAUCUUUAUAAUAUCAAUUUCCCAUCUAGCAGAUCCAAAGCUUACCCUUAUGUGUGAUCCUGAAUCAAAUAGCUUGCUUGGAAAACUGCCCACUUUUAUCACCAUGAUCUAGUUGUCCCUUUUUGUAAAGAAUAUUGGCCAAUAUAUUGGAUAGAAGUGCCUUACUAUUUCAUAUUCCACCCAUAAUAGAAAGCAUUGAAUAAUUAGUCUAUGAAUUUCCUCACUGGUUUUCUUUUUAUCGAAGAGUAUGUGUGAGGAAGAACUAAAACGUUGCAACAGA
Molecule: long non-coding RNA, 1216 nt
Filed under: Bemisia tabaci
Lineage: Eukaryota; Metazoa; Arthropoda; Insecta; Hemiptera; Aleyrodidae
Description: lncRNA ENSSSA1NGG012766
Source: RNAcentral